Molecule: long non-coding RNA, 2015 nt
Filed under: Marmota monax (woodchuck)
Lineage: Eukaryota; Metazoa; Chordata; Mammalia; Rodentia; Sciuridae
Source: RNAcentral
AAUCAUAAGGGCAAAAACUCAGAAAUAACCCAAAUAAGGAGAAAGUCAUAAGUAGAAAUCUACAUAUUUACCAUGAAAUUAAAUUAGUAUAAUAGAAAUAAUCAAAAUACCUAGUAAUAGGGAAAAUGUUAAUUAACUAUUUUAUAUGUACCAUAAUAAAUUUUGCUAAUAUAAGCAUCAAUAAUGGUAAUUAUGAAGUUUAUAUAGUAAGGUAAAAAUAUUUUUUAUUAAUGCAGAGUGACAAAUAUUGACACUUUAUGCAUAAUAACUAUGAUUAGGUACUUUCGUGAAAUAGGUAUAUAUGCACAUUGUGACGUUUUCCCCGUUUGUAUUAUGAAACACUAUAUUAUUGAACUUACACAUUGAAUUAAAGAAAAUUUUAAACACAGAGUUCAAUUGCCCUCUAACUUCAUUAAAUAUAUUUAUUCAAUAAGGAUCCUAUUUUUAAUUGCCUUCAUCAUCUCUAUAAAUCAUAUCUUUUAAAAUUUUACCAGUUUAAUUUAAAAUCAUCUUCCAUUGGUAUUUUUUGCUUCCUUCCUAAUUAGUGAGAUUGAGUCUCUGUUCAUCUUAAAAUUUGCCCUUCACUUUUAUUCUAUAAACAGAGUUUAUUCUUUGCCAAUUUUUAUUAAGAGGUGUUCCUGUGAUUAUUUAGGUGAUUUUACAUAUUAUCACGAAAAUAACAUGUAUUUUUAAAGGCCAUUUUAAGUGUAAAGACUUUUAUACUUUGAUAAUUGAUUCACAUAUAAUGACAGGUAAUACUAUUGUUUUAUGGUCAUUUUGACAUGCAUAGUUUAACUUUAUUUUUACAGAUUAGAGGGAUUGAGCUUUAGAUUAUCUGUUAUUGAAAAAUGUCCAACUGACCUUAUUUUAAGUGUGAGAUUCAGUUAGAAUUUUUAGAAUCAUAUUCAACCAUAAUAGUUUAAAUCUGAAAAUUCCAUAAUGAAUAAAUAAUCAUCUGCAUAUCUUCUGCAAACCUGAUCUCAUGGAUCAAAUUUUAAAUUUAUCUUUCAAGGCUAUAAAAUGAGUCAACAAACAGCGUUAUUGAACUACAAAAUCCUCCGCAAAUAUUAGGAAACCAUCUUCUUUACUUAUGACAUGGUUCUGCAGCCCUCCACAGAAAGCAGCUCCAUAGAGAAGAUCCUAUUAAUUAUUUAUUAUUGUCUGGUGAUGGUAAUGUUUAUUCAUGUUUCAUCUGAAAGGCUUUCAAAUGAAAUAUUCUAUGGAGUCAAACUACUGUGAAAAUGUCAUAAUUUCAGAAAAGCUAGAUUAGAGAGCCAUUUAUUAUUGAAACUUAGCUUGAUGUGUUUUGGUUGCAGGCUCUGAGCUUGGCACUAAAAAAUAUCUGAUUUCUACCCAUAAAUAUGCUUUUAAAAAUCUUGUCCAAGCCCAGGUGAUGGCACAUAUUUAUAAUCCUACUGACUUGGGAGGCUGAGUGAGGAGGAUCACAAUUUGAAGAUCAACUGGGUAACUUAGUGAGACCUUAUCUCCUAAUGAAAUAUAAAAAGUACAGGGAAAGUAGCUUAGUGGUAGAACAUCCCUGGGUCCAAUCCCAAAAACUGCACAUGUGCACACAUGCAUACAUAAGAAACCUAUCCCAAACCUACCAGGAAGAAUGAUUAAUCUUUUUUAAUCCAACAUUGAAUACAUUGAAUACAGCCACUUGUCAAAAGAAACGAACUUUAUUUUUAGAACCACACACGCCAAACAAAACAGCUCCUCAGGAAAAACCCUCAGAGCCCAACUGCCACCACCGGCUUCCCAUCAGCCUCUCUCACAACCACAAGCCUCUCCACCUCCCACAAUCCUCCUGCUCUUGAGGCCGAUUGGCUGGGUCGGGUGGGCAGAGCCAAAAAGUCCCCCAAUGAGCAGCUCAGUGGUCUGAAAGGGCAGGGAAACAGCCCAAUGAGCAUCACCGCAGAGGAGCCAAUCAGCUAGAUGUUGCUGGCACCACUGUGAGCCAAUCAUCAGCAGGCAGCUGGAAGUUUGCUGGGGCCCCUUCGGCUGUGGCUCUCAAC